This 484-nucleotide ribosomal RNA is filed under the name uncultured bacterium. Its description in RNAcentral is "partial 16S ribosomal RNA". It matches the Rfam family "Bacterial small subunit ribosomal RNA", at positions 28 to 523 of the family's 1533-position model. The record is from RNAcentral.
GACGAACGCUGGCGGCGUGCUUAACACAUGCAAGUCGAACGAUGAAGCCGGAGCUUGCUCUGGUGAAUUAGUGGCGAACGGGUGAGUAACACGUGAGUAACCUGCCCUUGACUCUGGGAUAACUGCUAGAAAUGGUAGCUAAUACCGGAUACGACCCUCGGAGGCAUCUUCAGGGGGUGGAAAGAAUUUCGGUCAAGGAUGGACUCGCGGCCUAUCAGCUAGUUGGUGAGGUAAUGGCUCACCAAGGCGACGACGGGUAGCCGGCCUGAGAGGGUGACCGGCCACACUGGGACGGAGACACGGCCCAGACUCCUACGGGAGGCAGCAGUGGGGAAUAUUGCACAAUGGGCGCAAGCCUGAUGCAGCAACGCCGCGUGAGGAAUGACGGCCUUCGGGUUGUAAACCUCUUUUAGUAGGGAAGAAGCGAAAGUGACGGUACCUGCAGAAAAAGCACCGGCUAACUACGUGCCAGCCGCCGCAGUAA